CCAAAAAUAUAGCCUUACCCCUCCUCCCCCCUCUCUUUUUUUACCCUCCACCCCAAACCAAAAUAUUUUAACAACCUAGUAAAGAAGAUUAAAAAACUUUUAAGAGCAAUAAACACGUACCGCAAGGGAAAACUGAAAUAAAAAUGAAAUAGUUCUCAAGCACAAAAAAGUAGAGACCCGUCCUCGUACCUUUUGCAUCAUGGCUUAGCUAGUCUAAUUAGGCAAAAAGCCCCUUAAGUCUUCCCCCCCGAAACUAAGUGAGCUAUUUUAGGGCCGCUUAAUGAGCCCACCCAUCUAUGUUGCAAUAUAGUGGGGAGACCUUAAAAUAGAGGUGACAGACCUACCGAACUUAGUUAUAGCUGGUUUCUCAAGAAAAGAAUUUUAGUUCCGCCUAAAGUAACACACAUUUUCAUAAAUAACCCUUCCUAUACUUUAGAGCAACUCAAAUAAGGUACAGCCUAUUUGAUCAAGGAUACAACCUCUGCCAACGGGUAACACUUAACUCACACCUACAAGUAGGCCUAAAAGCAGCCACCUUUUAAAAAACGUCAAAGCUUAGCUGUGCACACCUUAAUCUCCCACCCUCUAUAGACCCCUUCAAUUGUACUGAGAACUUCUAUAACAAUAUAGAACCUUUUAUGCUAAGACUAGUAACAAGAGACAACCCCUCUCCAUAAUGCAAAUACAAGCCAGCAAGAACCCCCCACUGGCAACUAACAGACCUAAACUAAAGCAGUACCCCCCCCCGAAAACCCUACUUUUCCCCACUGUUAACCUUACACCAGAGCAUUUCAGGAAAGAUUUUUUAAAAAAGAAGGAACUCGGCAAACACUAGCCCCGCCUGUUUACCAAAAACAUCGCCUCUUGUCCCCAUAAGAGGUCCAGCCUGCCCAGUGACUCUUGUUCAACGGCCGCGGUAUCCUGACCGUGCGAAGGUAGCGUAAUCACUUGUUUUUUAAAUAAAGACCAGUAUGAAAGGCAUCACGAGGGCUAAGCUGUCUCCUUUUUUUGAUCAGUGAAUCUAAUCUCCCCGUGAAGAAGCGGGGAUUCUCAUAUAAGACGAGAAGACCCUAUGGAGCUUAAAACAUCAUAAUACCUGCCACCACAUUCUGCCUGCCCAAGCACUUCUUUCUCUUCUUAGCACACUAAUUAUAUGUUUUUGGUUGGGGCAACCGCGGAGAAAAACUCAUCCUCCACGAUGAAGGGGAAAAAAUCCCUAAACAAUGAGCCACAACUUUAUGUAUCAACAAAUUGACAUUUAUUGACCCGACACGUCGAUUAACGAACCAAGUUACCCUAGGGAUAACAGCGCAAUCCACUUUAAGAGCCCUUAUCGACAAGUGGGCUUACGACCUCGAUGUUGGAUCAGGGUACCCCAGUGGUGCAGCCGCUACUAAAGGUUCGUUUGUUCAACGAUUAAAACCC
RNAcentral lists this ribosomal RNA (1425 nucleotides) under Pristimantis eriphus (Rio Jatuntianhua robber frog). RNAcentral describes it as "partial 16S ribosomal RNA". It matches the Rfam family "Bacterial large subunit ribosomal RNA", at positions 408 to 2596 of the family's 2925-position model. The record is from RNAcentral. Lineage: Eukaryota; Metazoa; Chordata; Amphibia; Anura; Strabomantidae.